This 496-nucleotide ribosomal RNA is filed under the name uncultured bacterium. RNAcentral's name for it is "partial 16S ribosomal RNA". It matches the Rfam family "Bacterial small subunit ribosomal RNA", at positions 29 to 507 of the family's 1533-position model. The record is from RNAcentral.
AUGAACGCUGGCGGCGUGCCUCAUACAUGCAAGUCGCGCGAACGGACGAGAAGCUUGCUUCUCUGAUGUUAGCGGCGGACGGGUGAGUAACACGUGGAUAACCUACCUAUAAGACUGGGAUAACUUCGGGAAACCGGAGCUAAUACCGGAUAAUAUUUUGAACCGCAUGGUUCAAAAGUGAAAGACGGUCUUGCUGUCACUUAUAGAUGGAUCCGCGCUGCAUUAGCUAGUUGGUAAGGUAACGGCUUACCAAGGCAACGAUGCAUAGCCGACCUGAGAGGGUGAUCGGCCACACUGGAACUGAGACACGGUCCAGACUCCUACGGGAGGCAGCAGUAGGGAAUCUUCCGCAAUGGGCGAAGGCCUGACGGAGCAACGCCGCGUGAGUGAUGAAGGUCUUCGGAUCGUAAAACUCUGUUAUUAGGGAAGAACAUAUGUGUAAGUAACUGUGCACAUCUUGACGGUACCUAAUCAGAAAGCCACGGCUAACUACGUG